Long non-coding RNA from Canis lupus familiaris (dog), 2854 nucleotides. RefSeq lists it as uncharacterized. The record is from RefSeq and is a predicted model, not a curated record. NCBI's taxonomy places the organism in Eukaryota, Metazoa, Chordata, Mammalia, Carnivora, Canidae. The transcript has 3 exons.
UCCUGGUAAUGACUCCAUCUGCCUCCUUGCAAGUACCAAUGCCCUGGCUUUCUGGGUUACCACCUUAAUAGUUCUCCUAACUGUAGCUUUGCUUCUUCAUUAGCUACACACUCAAGUUCUGCUAAGCAUCCAGACCCUUCCUCCUGCCAGCACAAAAAUCUGCCUCGCCAGGCCUUGUAUGUGAAACUCAGACAAUUCUAGCAAACCUAUUCCUUUUUCAGUGGUAGUGCCCCACUUCCACUUGAUGUGUUUCCUGUAUGGAUAUCGGUCAAGGACACACGGUAUUGAGUCAUAUUCUGGCUGGUGGGGCUUUGGAGCCUUCAGGAGUGCCACAUAAAAGCUCUGUCCUCAGACACUCAGGUGGAGCCCAGGCAAAAUGACAACUGUAAGAAAAAUCUGGGCACUCUGAGAUGCAGCAUCUGCGCCACCUGGCAAAGCCCCUGGUUUACUGUUUGGGUGAAGCGAAACGCUCCACCCAUCUUCCUAACUCCUUGCUCUCUGCAUCAAUGUGCUUUGAUAUCAACAACGCUGCCAGAACCCGGGAAAAAGGCUCAUCUGUUGCCAUGGAGGCUUUCAGCUUCUUCAGAGGCCGGGCCUUGAAUCACUGCCUUUGCAAAUAGAUCCCAUAACCAACAACAACAAGCUUAUAUAGAUGGGAAAUUACUUUUCUCUAUCAUAGCUAACAUUGAGAGCUUAUUCUGAACUGAAUUACUGUUCUGGCACUCAGUUACCCUGAUGACAACUCCAUAAAGCAGGCAUACUGCAUCCAUUUUACAGACAUGGAGGCUAAGGAGAGAGGUCAAGAAACUUGCUCAUGAUCUCAGAGCUAGGAAAUGGAGGAGCCAGGGUUCAUACUCGGGCAGACCAGCUCUGUGGUUGACACUCUUACCUUACCUGUUCUCAAGAACUCCAAAAAAGUAGGUUUUCUAAAGAAUGACUACAGAGGUACUUGGUUGAAUCCUGGUCAGUGGUUUCAAUUUUGGUGAGCACAUUUAAAAAGCCCCCUCUAAAACGAUUUAUUCAAUUUAUUCAAGGCUUCUCUUGAGAGACAUUUUUGGCUACAUACAGAUGGAGUAUAUCUUUCUAUUCAAAGCCCUUAAGUCCACCAUAGUGAAUAACGCUAAAAUAAAAUUCUCCCCCCCCUCCCAACACCACCUACACACACAGGAUUUUUGGCCAGGCUCCCACUCUGGAGGUGGGGACUGGUAGCAAAUGUGCACAAUUUCUAUCCCUAAAGGAAGUGUCCCACAGCUUGGCUCUUGGAGCUCAGAGCCUCCUGAGUUUCUCUGUAGGCAGAAAUCUGCAGGGUCCUGGGGACAGAGCCAUUUGGAGGUCCUUUCUGCUCAAACAGCUUAGCCAUCGGAAAGGGAUUUUGUGAUCUUCUCUGGACAACAUGAACAGCAGAAGUAGUACAGACUUUGCCAAAGAUGAGUUCAGUGAGUCAUUGAGAACAGAAAUGUUGCUGGAGGAGUUCAGCUAAAGAUGGUUAGAGAAUCCUGGUGUCCCUCAUCUGCUCUCAUCUUUUGGAGUGACUGUGGAAACUGAUCCCUUGUACGUCAGAGUUGCUAGCACUAGAAAUUUCCAAUGACUUCAUUUGGCCCCAUCACAGACUACAGCACAAUUUCAACUUAUUUUUCUUUUUUUUAGAUUUUAUUUAUUUAUUCAUGAAAGACACAGAGAGAGGGAGAGAGAGGCAGAGACACAGGCAGAGGGAGAAGCAGGCUCCAUGCAGGGAACCCGACGUGGGACUCGAUCCCUGGACUCCAGGAUCACGCCCUGGGCCGAAGGCAGGCGCUAAACUGCUGAGCCACCCAGGAAUCCCCUCAACUUAUUUUUCAAGUCAGACAAUAAAAGCAGCCUUUUUUUGAGACUUUCAUUUGAGCAGAAAUACAUUAAGUUCAUGUUUGAUUUGCAGAAUAUAAAUUUGUUUUCAUUUUUGUAAGAAAUGGCCAUUGAUUUUUGCAUGAAAAUGAGUGGGUGAGGCAUGUGCCUUUUCAGAGUUUGUAUUUACAUCCUAUAUAUGUGAAGAAAACCCACUUCUAACUCAAUACAGUCCGUAAAAGAGUAAGCAGGAUUCUGCACAUGUGCAUUUGUCUGAAGGAGAGGGACCCAUCAGCAAAAGGUGUAGUUAUUUGGCAAUGGCAAUGGGCGAAAAAGGACUAGUUCCUUCCUUUCCUCCUUAAAACCCUGGGCUUAUCUAUAGGUACUUUUCCAAGUAAGUGCUGUGUACAGUGUGGGGUGGACUCUAGUUAGCAGAAUGACCUGGGUUCUCAUGGAUAUUCUGAAUUAUGCAUACAUACCCACAUAGACUAGAGCUAGUGAAAUGACUUGCACAAUAUUCUACCUACCACUGCACAGUAAAAGGGCAUGCACAUUCUUCAAAAUCUUGCCUAGGUCCUUUAGAGAGAAGCAUUCCCAGUUCUUUCCUCUCGAAUGUUCUGCUCCUUUCAUGUGUGUAUGUGUGUGUGUGAGAGAGAGCAAGAGAGCGCGCUCAUGCACACAGGUAUUGUGAGUCAAGAUGCCACGUUUCAUUUAUAACUAGAAUGAGAUCUUAUCUGAAAAAUCUGUGCUGGUUUUGGACAGAGAGCAGAGUGUUCCAACUGAGACCUGGUACUGAGAAUUGCACUAGGCUGUGAGGCAGCUUUUUUUAAUAGAAUCUUUUCAUUUCUGAUGACCACCUGGAUAUGUCUUGCCUACAUAGAGGGAAGGAGGAUUUGCAGCAGAACAAGAGGGACAUUGCAGGAAUACAAAUAAAUGUUUUUACAUUACAAAUAAACAUUUGUAAAUUUAUUUUACAAAUAAAUGUUCUGUGAUAGCUCCUUCAUAAUUUGUGUUAUCUGAGAAAAACAUUUUC